Long non-coding RNA from Parus major (Great Tit), 1826 nucleotides. RefSeq lists it as uncharacterized. Lineage: Eukaryota; Metazoa; Chordata; Aves; Passeriformes; Paridae. The transcript has 3 exons. The record is from RefSeq and is a predicted model, not a curated record.
AAAUAUGUCUCUCAUCUUCAGCAUGGCAACAGAUCCAGCAACUGCCUCUGGAAGUACUGUCACAUUUCAUGUUAGGCUUGUGCUGAAGGCAUUCUGAAUUUAGGACUGUGUUGCAGUAAGACUCCUGCAAACAUGGAGUCUUCAGAAAACUGGGAUUGGAAGAUUUGGAAGUGAUUAUUCCAAAAUUUGUGAGAAAAUAGAAAAUUUUCCACUAUCUGCCAAGAACUUCUUGUUAGUCUUAUGAAAGAAAGGUAUGGAGUGAUAUCAAGGGCACGUGUCUGUGUAUCUGGAGAACGUGAGCCAGCAUGACAGCAAAGCUUCCGUGUAGCACAAGGGAACGCUGAAGACACCCAAGAUGCAGGGGAGGACAAUCUUGGAACACAACUAUAUCUUAAGGCACUAAAUUUUCCACAGACAAGAGCAUUAGUAAUUUUAACUUUGAUUGAGAACUGCUAUUAUCCACUCACAGCAUGUGGGAGCAAACAGGCACUUGGAUAAAUCACAAAAAAGAAAACCACUUAGCAUGCUGCUUCCCUCAACAACACCUUUUUGUGAAGGUGCAAGGCUGAGUGCUGCAGUGAGAGCGUGUGCGAAGACAGAAGCAAGGCUGCAGCAGCUCCCUGAAGCAUGCUCAAGGUCAGCCCCUCUCAAAGAAGACCAGAAGGUCACAUUUGACUUAAAAGAAAUCAUGAAGAUGAGUUUCAUGAGUGACACAACUGGAGCCAUUAGCAAACUCAUCCAAGAGUAAUCAUCCAUUAAAGGUGAAAGCCUGCAUCUUCACAGUGAAAAGAAGCAUGAGAAGCAGCACAAGCAUUCCUGUUUGACACCUCUGCAGAGAGACACAAAUAACUUCUGAACUGCCUCACUCUCCUCCUGCAGGCUCGCAGCCCUGGGGUGUGUUUGUCACCCUUCAACAGAUGAAGAAGACAGUGACUCCACCAGCUUGAGUAUGCAGGACAUCAUCUCCUCUACAACCAGUGCUGCUCCAGCAGAUCACUGGGUGAGAAGUAAACCAAACUGGUUUGAAACAUGGAGCACUUCACACAUGGUCGUUGAGAAGAGCACAGUUUGCUGGACUGGUCUCCACACAACUUCAACACUCUUUUGGAAUGGCAUUUCCUACGAAGCAUGCCAACUGUGUCAGCAUGACAAAAGACAGCUAGUAGUAAGGGCUGCUCCUUUGACAUUGUUGGGAUGGCCUCCAGAAUAAACUUUCGGCUCCUACUGGCUCUUACUAGAUGUAUCUUUGACACCAAGGCCUCUGCAAAGUAACAAAAUCAGAGGAUGUUUGGAACUUUAUCUGUGCUGUGAAGAAUCCAGCAAUAAAUUAUUCCAAAACAAAGGUCCAAUAGAGUUAAUAGAGCAUAUAAAACUGUCUACCAUGUUUCAUUGUGUUUAAUUUGCUGCAACAACCUGGAGAUGUCCAGGUUUCAGCCUCCCUUUUGCAACCAUCGGGUGCUCUGAGAAAUGCUGUGCCAGCUGAGGAGUCUCUGUCACCAGCAUCUCUGCAUCAUGGGGCAGUGAGAUACUUCCAGAGCAUUUGUCUGCUUCUCAUUUUCCAUGAUGGUCCCAAGUGAAGCAGUGCCCUCACCACUAUAGGGAGAGCCACAAGGACCUGUGGCCCAGUCAUCCCUACAAAGAAUGGGCAUGCAAGAGGGAAGACCCAGCUUUUGGCCACCCACAGAUACAACCUCUUCUAGGAUGUGAGCCUGAGGGUUGCUCAGGCUGCACAGAAGUUUGGUGCAUCUAGCCAGGAAUUUACUCAGAGUUAUCUCCCUGUUGUGUUUUGUGGUUUGUUUUUUGAUAUUUUUGCAUAUUUUGAGGAA